AUUGAACGCUGGCGGCAUGCCUUACACAUGCAAGUCGAACGGCAGCACGGGAGCAAUGCUGGUGGCGAGUGGCGAACGGGUGAGUAAUACAUCGGAACGUGCCCAGCUGUGGGGGAUAGCCCGGCGAAAGCCGGAUUAAUACCGCAUACGACCUACGGGUGAAAGCGGGGGAUCGCAAGACCUCGCGCAAUUGGAGCGGCCGAUGUCAGAUUAGCUAGNGGUGGGUAAAAGCCUACCAAGGCGACGAUCUGUAGCUGGUCUGAGAGGACGACCAGCCACACUGGGACUGAGACACGGCCCAGACUCCUACGGGAGGCAGCAGUGGGGAAUUUUGGACAAUGGGCGAAAGCCUGAUCCAGCAAUGCCGCGUGAGUGAUGAAGGCCUUAGGGUUGUAAA
Molecule: ribosomal RNA, 397 nt
Filed under: uncultured bacterium
Lineage: Bacteria
Description: bacterial SSU rRNA
Rfam family: Bacterial small subunit ribosomal RNA
Source: RNAcentral